This 530-nucleotide small RNA is filed under the name uncultured fungus. RNAcentral's name for it is "eukaryotic LSU rRNA". The stretch from base 158 to 311 matches the Rfam family "5.8S ribosomal RNA". The record is from RNAcentral. Lineage: Eukaryota; Fungi.
GGGGCUCGACGACGGGCUUCGGCCUGGUUAUUCAUAACCCUUUGUUGUCCGACUCUGUUGCCUCCGGGGCGACCCUGCCUUCGGGCGGGGGCUCCGGGUGGACACUUCAAACUCUUGCGUAACUUUGCAGUCUGAGUAAACUUAAUUAAUAAAUUAAAACUUUUAACAACGGAUCUCUUGGUUCUGGCAUCGAUGAAGAACGCAGCGAAAUGCGAUAAGUAAUGUGAAUUGCAGAAUUCAGUGAAUCAUCGAAUCUUUGAACGCACAUUGCGCCCUUUGGUAUUCCAAAGGGCAUGCCUGUUCGAGCGUCAUUUGUACCCUCAAGCUUUGCUUGGUGUUGGGCGUCUUGUCUCCAGUUCGCUGGAGACUCGCCUUAAAGUCAUUGGCAGCCGGCCUACUGGUUUCGGAGCGCAGCACAAGUCGCGCUCUCAUCCAGCCAAGGCCAGCGUCCAGUAAGCCUUUUUUUCAACUUUUGACCUCGGAUCAGGUAGGGAUACCCGCUGAACUUAAGCAUAUCAAUAAGCGGAGGA